UCUGACUCAGAUUCCUUCUGCUGCAACUUCCGAAUCAGUUCCAGUAAGUUCAUCUGUAAAGUCAGCUCCUGGGGGUUGGUGGUGAUGUAGAAGCCGGACACCCCGGCCUUCUCCAGGGUGCUCUGCUGGUCGAUCACUUUCUGGUCCAGUUCCAAGACGAUUUUCUCAUCCAUCAUUCGCUGCUCCUCUCGAAUUCGUUGCUCCACGGCCUCCAUCUCCCGCUGCUGGGCGGCACGGAGCAGGGGCAGGUUGUGUGGCCUGCAGCACUGCUGGGCCUCCUUGUGCCGGUGGAAGAGCUCCUGCUUCAGCCCUCGGUGCUCGCUAUGCAGUUUGAGGCGCUGGCUGUAGAGGUUCUUCUCGGUGAGGUGCUGGAUCUCCAGCAGCCCCUGCACGAUCUCAAACACCGUCCCAUCCAGCAGAGCCAGCGCCAGGUCGCUCAGCGUCGUGUAGGACAAGCGCUGCUGGCAGGAGCUGGGCAGCGCCUUCACCAGCUCCUGCAGCUCGGAUAGCAGCCGGUAGUGCCUCUCCUGCUGCCGGGACAGCUCCGCCGCCGCCACUUCGUACCCAGCGCCGCCGAACCGCUCCA
RNAcentral lists this long non-coding RNA (586 nucleotides) under Gallus gallus (chicken). Lineage: Eukaryota; Metazoa; Chordata; Aves; Galliformes; Phasianidae. The record is from RNAcentral.